This is a non-coding RNA of Canis lupus familiaris (dog), 73 nucleotides long. NCBI's taxonomy places the organism in Eukaryota, Metazoa, Chordata, Mammalia, Carnivora, Canidae. The record is from Rfam.
ACCUGGCUGGCUCAGUCUGUGGAGCAUGGGACUCAUCAUCUCAGGGUUGUGAGUUCAAGUCCCAUGUUGGGUG